This 71-nucleotide transfer RNA is filed under the name Marmota monax (woodchuck). RNAcentral describes it as "tRNA.Ser". Lineage: Eukaryota; Metazoa; Chordata; Mammalia; Rodentia; Sciuridae. The record is from RNAcentral.
GGGGUACUGGGUCAGUGACAGAGCACAUGCCUACUAUGUCUGAGGCACUGGGUUCAAUUCCCAGCACCACA